CCUACGGGUGGCAGCAGUGGGGGAUAUUGCACAAUGGGGGAAACCCUGAUGCAGCGACGCCGCGUGAGUGAAGAAGUAUUUCGGUAUGGAAAGCUCUAUUAGCAGGGAAGUAAAUGACAGUACCUGACCCAGAUGCCCCGGCUAACUACGUUCCAGCAGCCGCGGUAAUACGGAGGGUGCAAGCGUUAUCCGGAUUUACUGGGUGUAAAGGGAGCGUAGAGGGUUAGGUAGGUCUGGAGUGAAAGCCCGCGGCCCAACCCCGAGACUGCUUUGGAAACUGGGUAACUGGAGUACAGGAGGGGCAGGCGGAAUUCCUGGUGUAGCGGUGAAAUGCGUAGAUAUCAGGAGGAACACCGACGGCGAAGGCGGCCUGCUGGACUGAAACUGACGUUGAGGCUCGAAAGCGUGGGGAGCAAACAGGAUUAGAUACCCGAGUAGUC
RNAcentral lists this ribosomal RNA (440 nucleotides) under uncultured bacterium. RNAcentral describes it as "partial 16S ribosomal RNA". It matches the Rfam family "Bacterial small subunit ribosomal RNA", at positions 338 to 795 of the family's 1533-position model. The record is from RNAcentral.